AAUACCGACACCCAUCUCCUGACCUCAUUCCUAAUCAUCAGAUUAUGGAAGCUGCACCAGGAUGUUUAGCUUAACACCUUGGUGACAGAGAGGGAUGGAAGUGUGAUCUGGACCGUAUGGCAGGAAGAUCGUGAAUGUGCAGGAGAUACAUACACUGCCACUUCUCAAAUCCCCAGAGUCUUUCAGAAAAGGGGAGUAGAGCAGGAUUACUUUUUAAAAGAGAUGUACAUCAAAAGAAUCAUAUUGCUGUUCUUUAAAAGGCAACUGCAUGGUACUUUGUUGAUUGUUAUGCCUGGUACACUCUAGCCCAGCCAGAGCUAUAAUUAUUUUUUAAAAUACUUGUCUUGAUGAAUGUAUAGUGACAAGGGGGAGCAGCUAUUGGGAACAGUGAACUAUCCUGCAAUGCUAUUGUUUCCAUAUAUAUCGAACCCUUAUUGCUCCUAGUCACAGCGAGUCUGUCUUGCUUCCUACCUACAACUUCUUGAGCAGUGCUUCGUGUCCUUAUUAGGAACAUUUUGAAACCCUUUAGUUAGGUCUUUCACUAAGGUUCCCUUUCAUAUAUAUUUCAAGUGAAUGCUGUAUCCCAGACUAACCGUAGUCAUAAUGUAAUACACUUCUGUGAGUGCU
RNAcentral lists this long non-coding RNA (627 nucleotides) under Bos taurus (domestic cattle). RNAcentral's name for it is "long non-coding RNA NONBTAT027012". Lineage: Eukaryota; Metazoa; Chordata; Mammalia; Artiodactyla; Bovidae. The record is from RNAcentral.